Molecule: ribosomal RNA, 408 nt
Filed under: uncultured bacterium
Lineage: Bacteria
Description: partial 16S ribosomal RNA
Rfam family: Bacterial small subunit ribosomal RNA
Source: RNAcentral
GACGAACGCUGGCGGCGUGCUUAACACAUGCAAGUCGAACGAAGUGGCGAACGGGUGAGUAAUACGUGAGUAACCUGCCCUCCUUUUUGGGAUAAGCCUUGGAAACGGGGUCUAAUACCGAAUAAAGGGGGAUGGGCUCGCGGCCUAUCAGCUGGUUGGUGGGGUGAUGGCCUACCAAGGCGGUGACGGGUAGCCGGCCUGAGAGGGUGACCGGCCACAUUGGGCCGGGGUUACGUCCCAGAUUCCGACGGCAGGCAGCAGUGGGGGAUAUUGGACAAUGGGCGUAUGCCGCAUGCAGCGAGUCCGCGUGAGGGAUGAAGGCUUUCGGGUUGUAAACCUCUUUAGCGAUGGAGCGGGUAGGUGGAGAAGAAGCGCCGGCUAACUACGUGCCAGCAGCCGCGGUAAUAC